UGCAAACUGCGAAUACCGGAGAAUGUUAUCACGGGAGACACACGGCGGGUGCUAACGUCCGUCGUGAAGAGGGAAACAACCCAGACCGCCAGCUAAGGUCCCAAAGUCAUGGUUAAGUGGGAAACGAUGUGGGAAGGCCCAGACAGCCAGGAUGUUGGCUUAGAAGCAGCCAUCAUUUAAAGAAAGCGUAAUAGCUCACUGGUCGAGUCGGCCUGCGCGGAAGAUGUAACGGGGCUAAACCAUGCACCGAAGCUGCGGCAGCGAACGUAUCACCCAAGACAACUUUACGGAGUUGACGAUUGACGGAGCGAAGCGACGUCAAAGCGUUCAUUAAAGUCGAGUUGGCUUAGGGAUACGUUCGUUGGGUAGGGGAGCGUUCUGUAAGCCUGUGAAGGUGUGUCGUGAGGCAUGCUGGAGGUAUCAGAAGUGCGAAUGCUGACAUAAGUAACGAUAAAGCGGGUGAAAAGCCCGCUCGCCGGAAGACCAAGGGUUCCUGUCCAACGUUAAUCGGGGCAGGGUGAGUCGACCCCUAAGGCGAGGCCGAAAGGCGUAGUCGAUGGGAAACGGGUUAAUAUUCCCGUACUUGGUGUUACUGCGAAGGGGGGACGGAGAAGGCUAUGUUGGCCGGGCGACGGUUGUCCCGGUUUAAGCGUGUAGGUGUGUGUUCCAGGUAAAUCCGGUUCACUUUAACACUGAGGCGUGACGACGAGGCACUACGGUGCUGAAGCAACAAAUGCCCUGCUUCCAGGAAAAGCCUCUAAGCAUCAGGUAACACGAAAUCGUACCCCAAACCGACACAGGUGGUCAGGUAGAGAAUACCAAGGCGCUUGAGAGAACUCGGGUGAAGGAACUAGGCAAAAUGGUGCCGUAACUUCGGGAGAAGGCACGCUGACACGUAGGUGAAGUG
This 907-nucleotide ribosomal RNA is filed under the name Salmonella enterica. Its description in RNAcentral is "partial 23S ribosomal RNA". It matches the Rfam family "Bacterial large subunit ribosomal RNA", at positions 948 to 1772 of the family's 2925-position model. The record is from RNAcentral. Lineage: Bacteria; Pseudomonadati; Pseudomonadota; Gammaproteobacteria; Enterobacterales; Enterobacteriaceae.